CAGGGUCCUUAAAGUGUGUGUGACAGUUGACAGAGCACAAAAAAGACUCCCCAUGGCAUGAUUACUGGAGUACCAUCAACCAGUCUGAUAAAGCCAGGGACUGUGUUAUGAUGGACUUUAGGAACAGAGGGCCAUACAACACCAGGAGACAUAUUGCUUUGCUUUUUAUCUACAAUCUACACUUCCCUUAAGACUAAAGAAGAGUAUCUUGGGGUGAGCAAAUAGAGUGUAAUCAUAAACCAACUUAGCUAGAAGGUCUGCCUAUUCUGCAGCUAAUAGAAUAGGAACUUGAGUUGAGGCAGAAGUGUAUGGCCCUUGCCACACUGCCCAAUAAACUCUAUCUCAAAUCAAGGUAAUAAAAAGGAAUCCAAGUUUCUUUUCGGUGGACAUAAAGACAAGAAUAUAACUGAAAUUCCACUCUUAGUACACCUCUUAAAAUUGUUAAAGAGAUAUCUUAGAGAUGAUUCUCCCAUAUUAUUGUUUUAUCACUUUUAGUGAUACAAAGACUUGCAAUGCCUAACUUCUAUACAACUGAACACUUCAGGAAACUGAGAUAUUCAUUCUUUAAUCUCCUAAUGUCUUACUUAAUAACUUGCUGCCCAAGUAACUGAUGUAAUUUAGCUUUCCAACAUUUAGACAAUUAUGAGUCAAAUGUCUAAGCUAGCAUAAUUCAGGAAACAUUAAUUGAAUUAAUGGUCAUGUUCUAUAAAGUUUUCUAGAAACUAGGUCCUCUAACUUUCUUCUAAUAAUCUUGGCAGGGGGGCCUCCAUUUUAAGAACAUGGAUUUAGGAAGACAUACACGCACUGGCUUCAAUCAAUGUCAACUCUCCAUAUGUUUGCAAUUAACUUUCAGUAGAUAGUCAUUUUGAAAGACUCACUUAUCAACAAAAAUGACAGAAUUCUUUCUAUCCCCAGGUGAGAAGCAUACUGAAAGGCAGACUGCCAUGUUUGUCCAGUUACAUUUGCCAAUUGUCUGUAGCUGCCUUAGAUAUGAGAUGCACAGGAUUUCCUUGGAACAUAGGUUUUCAAAGAACAAAAUAAUUUCACACAGAACUCAAGCUGUGAAGCUACUGAAUCAAUGCAAAUGGCUGGUGACUGUAAAUAUGGUGAAGUAGCUUAUGUUGAGACCACGCAAUUUGCUCAAGACAUCAUCUCCUUUGCAAAACAUUACACGACUAUGAAAAAGGUCAAGAAUGAAGGUGUAUUUAUAUUAAUUAACACUUCAUAGACAACAGGUCCAGUGCUUACUGUUUCACAGACAUGAAAAUGAAUUUAUUAGUAGCUGGCCUUGGAUUGUUACGAUAUAGCACUGUGGUGCCAAUAGAUAAAAAAUUCUUACUAAAUAAAUAUGUAAUCAAAUGAAGUAUGUUGCUUGUA
RNAcentral lists this long non-coding RNA (1377 nucleotides) under Felis catus (domestic cat). Its description in RNAcentral is "lncRNA (ENSFCAG00000052076.1)". Lineage: Eukaryota; Metazoa; Chordata; Mammalia; Carnivora; Felidae. The record is from RNAcentral.